Molecule: ribosomal RNA, 407 nt
Filed under: uncultured Pimelobacter sp.
Lineage: Bacteria; Bacillati; Actinomycetota; Actinomycetes; Propionibacteriales; Nocardioidaceae
Description: bacterial SSU rRNA
Rfam family: Bacterial small subunit ribosomal RNA
Source: RNAcentral
UGGGGAAUAUUGGACAAUGGGCGGAAGCCUGAUCCAGCAACGCCGCGUGAGGGAUGACGGCCUUCGGGUUGUAAACCUCUGUCAGUACCGACGAAGCGAGAGUGACGGUAGGUACAGAAGAAGGACCGGCCAACUACGUGCCAGCAGCCGCGGUAAUACGUAGGGUCCGAGCGUUGUCCGGAAUUAUUGGGCGUAAAGGGCUCGUAGGCGGUUUGUCGCGUCGGGAGUGAAAACAGCGGGCUUAACUCGUUGCUUGCUUCCGAUACGGGCAGACUAGAGGUAUGCAGGGGAGAAUGGAAUUCCUGGUGUAGCGGUGAAAUGCGCAGAUAUCAGGAGGAACACCGGUGGCGAAGGCGGUUCUCUGGGCAUUACCUGACGCUGAGGAGCGAAAGUGUGGGGAGCGAACA